AAGUUUUUAAGAAGAAGGACAGCCUGGGAAGAUCACUGUGGCAGCAAUUAAAACUGUGAGGUGGGUAAAAAAUAGUUUGAGCCAGAACAACCUUUUAUGAAGAAAAAUUUUACUAUUCUGCAUUGGUACAGCCUGAUCAGGGCAAAUGUACUUUUUAGAAAAAUAAAAGAACGUGGUACUAGCAGCAAGUAACCUAAGGUAUCCCUCUGUCACUACUUUGCUAGACCAACCAAUAGCUAUGUAUUCCUAAAAGAACUCUUGAUAACACAGGAUCCAGCAGCUACAAUCCAAUGUCUAGAAUCGAACAGUUAAUCACAUACCCAAAAAAGAUGUAAUCUCAUCUACCUGUUCAGAGAGGACAUCCUCUGCAAACACAUAUGGUAGCAUAAGAAACUCAGCUAUGCUGUCAAGGGUAUCAGCAAUCUGACACCUGGGGCACGGGGAAGAGGAGUGGGUAGCAUCAUUUCUUCCAAGAGCCCAAACAGUCCCAGUCUCUGAAAGAAUUGGACACUUAACCACUCUUGCCUGCAACUGAUGUUUAUCUUUGUACCACACCACCGGAAGUCAAUACCAAAAACAUAAAAUCCAACAUCCAAUCGUGAAGAGGAAAGACUGAGAGCAAAACAGUCCUCAAACACCUUAUGGAGGAUAUGUGACAAGUGCCUGCCAGCUGGAUACACUUACAGUGUUCUUUGUUGGUGGCUAAUAUGGCCUACAGGACUGGGGAAGACUCUCACAUCUGGAAUCUUACUGUCACCACUGAGAGUUAAAUGUGUGAAGGCCCAUGGACUGAUUCACGGGACGGAUCAAGUGGCGCCCAACCGUGGGGCAGACCUGGCACAAAGGAUAACGACACGGGACCAUUCAUGGGAGUAAAGCGCUGGCCAGCGUGACUGUUUCGGGACUGCAUUCCUGUGAUCUGUGCAGACGGCCACCUUACGUCUCGCCUGAAUCAUGAUGGUACAACUUCUCAAAACCUUAUGGACCAUCGUUGGACUUUUGACACAACUACAUCUAAUGGACAACAACCCCCAUCAACCCUGGAAAUGGGAGCUUAGCCACUGGAAUCACCAAGAGAAGGUUUGGACUUUGGUAGGAUCAGGAAGUCCAUGGUUUGUGCCCACACCUGUUGGUUCUUUCUGGGGCUCCAAUGUCCCAAACAAAGUCAAUUUUACCUUUGUCCCACAGUAACAGAGGGAAGAUCAUAUUGUAAUUCCCCAGGAGAAUAUUUUUGUGCUCGUUGGGGCUGUGAAACAGUUGCACAGGGUGGCAACCAGCCUUCCCCAAUAAACACCUUAAACUGACAUAGGGGCCGCUGGGGUGCAGCCUAGAUGACUACCCACUGGCCAAUCAAAGACUCUGUCAGGUUCUUUUUUUUUUUUUUUUUUUUGUCUUUUUCGUUUUUAUUGGUACCAGGGAUGGAACUCACGACUGCCUGCUUGCAAGGCAGGCGCUUAUGCCACUGAGCUAAAUCCCCAUCCCCGACUCUGUCAGGUUCUAAACGUCACUGUCACCACUCCUGAAGACCCUGGCUGGCUGACAGGACGUACCUGGGGACUUCGAGUUUAUGAGUCGGCAAAGACAGGGGAAAUCUUAUUCUCAUAAAAAAGAUUCCCCUACAGAUUUCACCCACGCCCAUAGGCCCAAAUCCUGCUCUAAAGCCAAAAUAUAAUCCAAAUCCAAAAUACAAUCAGUCCAAUACAGAUCUUGUUACUGCUGUUCAAACAAACACAGUAAGUCACCCAACCAUAAGGGUUUCUCAAGCUCCGCCACACCAGGCAGAUCAUAUACCUGCCCCUCAAUAUUCACAUUCUAACCUAUUCAGUUUGAUUAAAGGGGCAUACAUGGCUUUAAAUCAUACCCAACCUGAUCUCACCCAAUCCUGUUGGUUAUGCUUGGCUGCUCCUCCCCCAUAUUAUGAAGGAAAGGCCCUCAAUUUAACCUUUAACGGUUCUUCUAGCUCAUCUGCCUGUGACUGGGGCAAUCACCACAAGCUGACUCUCCCUGAUGUCUCAGGUAGAGUCUUGUCUUGGGGAUUGCAGCCUCAGGACUUGUCUUGGGGAUUCCAGCCAUCCACCAGCACUGGCAGUAUGACUCUGUGCCCAGCUUCAUUCGGAGUUCAAGCCAAAUAAUUACCUCAUUCCACCCCCAGGAAUGUCUUGGGCCUGCAAUUUUGGCCUCUCACCCUGUAUAGCAACUACUGUUUUUAACAAGUCUACAGAUUUUUGUGUUCUUGUACAGGUUCUUCCUCGCAUAACCUUCCACCCAGGAGACUACUACCUCCAGGCAUCGCAGACCAGCUAUAUAUUUAAGAGAGAACCUGCGACACUCACCUUAGCUGUAUUACUGGGGUUAAGAGUCGCAACGGGAAUAGGAACAGGGACUACGGCUCUAGUGUUGGGAAAUCAGCAUCUAGCUCAAUUACAGGCAGCAGUAGAUCAGGAUUUAAAAGAAAUAGAAACAUCUGUGACGGCUCUACAGGCGUCCCUGAUGUCUCUAUCUGAGGUAGUCCUACAGAAUAGAAGAGGGCUAGACCUCCUAUUUAUGAAGGAGGGUGGCUUAUGUGCUGCCCUCAAGGAAGAGUGUUGUUUUUAUGCUGACCACUCGGGAGUCAUCAAAGAGUCCAUGAGUAAACUAAGAGUGCGCCUCAAAGAGAGAGAAAAAGAGGGCCUCGGAGAAACCACCUUCUCCUCCAUGUGGGGGGGUCUCUUCCCUUACAUUGCCCCCCUCUUGGGACCCCUAGCCGCCUUGCUGUUACUGCUUACUGUAGGACCUUGUAUUUUUCAGAGGAUCAUGAUGCUCAUUAAUAACGUUAAUAACAGGAUUGACACAUUUAUGGCAAAGCCCAUUCAGGUACAUUACCACCAGUUGGAAAUGGCAGAACAACAAACUUAUCGGGAAAGAUCACCCACCGACGGCCCACAUGAUACUGUGGCCCAAAUGCCCUGAGGCACUGGACAGGCAGCCAGAGACGGGCAACUAGGACACAUAUGUAGUGCCAAUCAGCCACCUAAGACAGGUCCAGGACCAACAGCUGUCCUGCAGGCCCAUGAUGGGUAAGGCUCGAAUGGGUUCAUAUGAGGAGUCCUUGACCCAAGACAGGCGCUGUCCUCCCAGGGCCUGCCAUGUUUCUAAAAAAUAUAUAAAAUAAUAAGGGAGGAGAUGUAGGGAGCGGCUCAGAAUGGCAGCUGCUGCCCUGCCCCUCCCACCUGAGGGCAUUUUCUGUGUCAGCCUACAUUUCCCAUGAUCCUCCCCUUGCCUACAAUGCACAUGACGUAAGCAACUUCCUGCUUCAGCCUACAUUUCCCAUGAUCCUCAUGUCUGCCUACAUUACCCAUAAUCCUCUCCUGCUUACAUCAUAUAUCCGGAAGUGACGAUGACCUAUCAGAUAACACUCCAUGCCCUCUUCCUGCCCCAUUGGCCCGCCUCUACCCUAUAUAAGUUGUAGCCAUUUUAAAAAUAAAUGAGACUUGAAUGGAA
Cavia porcellus (domestic guinea pig) is the source of this 3480-nucleotide long non-coding RNA. RefSeq lists it as uncharacterized. The transcript has 5 exons. NCBI's taxonomy places the organism in Eukaryota, Metazoa, Chordata, Mammalia, Rodentia, Caviidae. The record is from RefSeq and is a predicted model, not a curated record.